This 84-nucleotide transfer RNA is filed under the name Myxococcales bacterium. RNAcentral's name for it is "tRNA-Leu". It matches the Rfam family "tRNA". From Rfam's summary of the family: Transfer RNA (tRNA) molecules are approximately 80 nucleotides in length. The record is from RNAcentral. Lineage: Bacteria; Pseudomonadati; Myxococcota; Myxococcia; Myxococcales.
GCCGGGAUGGCGAAACAGGUAGACGCAGGAGACUUAAAAUCUCCCGGCCGAUUGGCUGUACGGGUUCGAGUCCCGUUCCCGGCA